This 293-nucleotide ribosomal RNA is filed under the name uncultured bacterium. RNAcentral's name for it is "partial 16S ribosomal RNA". It matches the Rfam family "Bacterial small subunit ribosomal RNA", at positions 333 to 624 of the family's 1533-position model. The record is from RNAcentral.
UCUUCCCUACGGGGGGCAGCAGUGAGGAAUAUUGGUCAAUGGGAGAGAUCCUGAGCCAGCCAAGCCGCGUGAGGGAAGACGGCCCUAUGGGUUGUAAACCUCUUUUGUCGGAGAACAAAACCCGGGACGUGUCCCGGACUGCGUGUAUCCGAAGAAAAAGCAUCGGCUAACUCCGUGCCAGCAGCCGCGGUAAUACGGAGGAUGCGAGCGUUAUCCGGCUUUAUUGGGUUUAAAGGGUGCGUAGUCGGUCUGUUAAGUCAGCGGUACAAUUGCGGGGCUCAACCCCGUCGAGC